RNAcentral lists this long non-coding RNA (1463 nucleotides) under Canis lupus familiaris (dog). RNAcentral's name for it is "lncRNA (ENSCAFG00000053309.1, ENSCAFG00805031073.1)". Lineage: Eukaryota; Metazoa; Chordata; Mammalia; Carnivora; Canidae. The record is from RNAcentral.
UUCCUCUAAUAUGAUAUAAGACAUUAAAAGGAGGCUUAUUUUCUAUUGUACUGUGUUAUAGACUACCCUUCAGCUUUGGCAUCCUCAUAUGGAACAGAGGGGGUAAGAUAUAGGACCUGAUGGCCUAGGCCACAAACAGAGAAAUACUGUGUUUGCUGGAGUAAACUGAGAGACUAUGGCAUUCUGAAGGCCAGUUUGAUAAGUGAUAGCUUCUGGCAGCAGCAUAGCUGCUACAAGCAAUGGACACUUUUUGAGAGCCAAAUGCUGAGGGUAAAUUGCAAAAAAGACUCAACUCUGCUAUUCAAAUGGACUACAGUUUAAUAAGAAGAGACUGCCAGUGGCAAAAGAGUAUAAUAUGUGCUACGGAUCUCUCAGCGGUUAAAGCUCAGAUGGAACCCCCUUAUGAAAUAUCCACAAGAUGCUGCUGAGGUGCUCAAGAACUUGUCUGCAGUCCUUGCCUAAGCAGGUUUUCCAACCAAACAAAAACAUCUGCAUGCUGACUUCGAACUUAGUAAAGUCUCAUGUAGAUGGUGAUCAUCAUGACAGAAGUGAUUUUUUUCUCAUUCCUUUUGUGUAUCUCUGAAGUUCCUACUCUGGGCCUUUAACCUAGCACUGUCAUCACCAAACUGUCAGUCCUUGAUUAUCAUCAAUGGUGGAACAACCCUGCCCCAGCUUAUGACAGCAACAAAUUGAGACUCAUCCUUCAGUUAUGUGCACGUAAAUUAUCUAUGCUACCUGAAAGAUUAUUUUUUCACUUACCAAGGUUUUAGCAACUCUAAUUAACGUAUAAUGUUUAGUCUAGAUAUCCAUCUAGAUAUCCAUCAAUUGACUUAACUGAAUUUUAGCUAUCCGAUUGCCUAAAUAAACUUGAUAUAUAACUAUUGUAUAGUCAGAUAAGAAUUUUUAACAUUAAUGAAGAAUUGUUUAAUGGACAAUAACAGUCCCAUUAUUUAAACACUAAAAAGCUAAGUGCUACAGUCAAAAAUUAAACUAAGCUAUUUCUUGAAUUAUUAAUCUAUUUCCACUUAGAUGUCCUCCUUAGAACAUUUUAUAAUCUGAAACACUUGUGACUGUUUUAUGAUUGUUAAAUUUUUACUGAAGGAGUUAAAGCAUUUUCUGCCUAAUACACCUACAAAAAUAACCUUAUUUAACUUGACAAACACAGUCCAAUACAUAUUUAAGCUAUUUUGAAAAUAAUGGAAAAAUCUUAUUAAUAACUGUUUUCUCUUGUGGGGUGUGGUGAAUAGUAAUUUAGGGCAGGUGAGAGCAAAGCAAUUUAACUUUUCCCUUGUUAGUUCCUUUGACCUACAAGUUUGGAGGUCUCUGCAGCACCCUUGAGCUUUUUCCACAGAAUAAAGUAAUAGUUGCUAAGACUUUGCCAAAAAAUAAAAAAAUAAAAAACUAUCUGUUUUGCUGUUAGGUUCUGCCUCUAUCUUGUUCAGGUAUUUCUUGUAUUAUUUCUA